UACAGAGGGUGCGAGCGUUGUCCGGAAUCACUGGGCGUAAAGGGCGCGUAGGUGGCUUGGUAAGCGUGUGGUGAAAGUCCGGGGCUCAACCCCGGAUCUGCCGUGCGAACUGCCGAGCUCGAGCGAUGUAGAGGCAGGUGGUAUUUCGGGUGUAGCGGUGGAAUGCGUAGAUAUCCGAAAGAACACCGGUGGCGAAGGCGGCCUGCUGGGCAUCCGCUGACACUGAGGCGCGACAGCGUGGGGAGCAAACAGGA
Molecule: ribosomal RNA, 254 nt
Filed under: uncultured prokaryote
Description: partial 16S ribosomal RNA
Rfam family: Bacterial small subunit ribosomal RNA
Source: RNAcentral